Molecule: microRNA, 21 nt
Filed under: Physcomitrium patens
Lineage: Eukaryota; Viridiplantae; Streptophyta; Bryopsida; Funariales; Funariaceae
Description: ppt-miR1023b-3p
Source: miRBase by way of RNAcentral
AGAGAAUUGAAGAGAGUGCAU